RNAcentral lists this long non-coding RNA (4555 nucleotides) under Sus scrofa (pig). RNAcentral describes it as "lncRNA (ENSSSCG00000061738.1)". Lineage: Eukaryota; Metazoa; Chordata; Mammalia; Artiodactyla; Suidae. The record is from RNAcentral.
ACUCAUUCCUUAUUUUUUCCUCUAGCACUUAAAUAUAGUGUUCAAAAUAUCAUACCAAUAAGUAUGUAUUGAGGAGAUGAUCAUUUAACCCAAUAUACACUUUUAUGAAUUUAGUAAGUCCAGUCACAAUGUCUGAUACUUCAUCAAUCAUUGACAUAGUAUUGGUUGGCUAAAGCCAGACCCAUGAUUCUGAUUAAAAUUUGGUUAAAUCAUGAUGAGUAUCUGAGAAGGAAUUUUACUAUAGGCACAAUGUUAUUGAAAUCAUUGAUUCAGAUAUUAAGAAGUAAGUUUUUUAAGCAACUAAAUUUGUUAAACUUUGUCACAUUGGAAACAUAAGAAACUAAAGUUAUUUUCCAUAGGGUUCAAAUCAAAACCUGAGCAUGUUACUUAAACUCAGAAAAACAUUCAGUAAUCUGAUGGUUAAUUUUGUAUGUCAACUUGAUAGGUUAAGUGAUGCCUAGAUAAUUUGUACAUUAUUUCUAGGUGUGUCUGUGAGGGUGUUUGCUUCAUUAGACUACUAAGGAAGAUGGCCCUCACCGAUGUGGUUGAGCAUCAUCCAAUCAGUUGAGGGCUCAAAGAGAACAAAAAGUCAGAGGAAGGGUGAAUUCAUUCUCUGCUUGGGAAUCACUAGGUAUCUAGAACUGGCACGUAUAUUUUCUCCUAACCUCACAUAUUGUGCUUCUGGUUCUCUGGCUUUUGCGCUUCAGUCAAGACUUAAACCUUUGGCUCCCCUGUUUCUCAAUCUUUCAGGAUUAGACUGGAACUAUAUAACAUUGUCUUUCAUUGGUGUCCAACAUGCAGACAGCAGAUCAUAGGAUUUAGCCUUACUAAAUGUGAGCCAGUUCCUCAUUAUAAAUAUCCUUCUGUAUAUCUAUCUCUAUGUAUCAUAUUGGUUCUGUUUCUUUGGAGAACCCUGGCUAAUACAAGUAGUUCCCCUUAGCACUUAGUGUAAUAAUGCCCACAUGUUUCUUACCACACUUGUCCUUAUAGCUUUUACUGAAUUCUAAUUUUCUUCCUGCAUUAGGGUCUUCACAUAUCUUUUCCAAUACACCUAGUAAUUUCUAGUCUUGACAUAAAUUUGUCAUUUUUUAAAAAUAAUAAAUGUUACAGUGUUCUUUUAAUUCUUAUUGAAUCAUGUAAUAAAUAUCAUGAUUGUCUUGAAGAUUAUCUUUAUAGUAAGGAAGUUACAGAGGAAUCUUUGCCCCCCAAAAGAAAUGUGAAACACAUGAUAGAAAAUGAAGAAACACAUCACUAGCUUGAAUGCACUUUCCUAUACUUCUUCAUCCUGCAUCAGCCUCAUUCUUCAUGAUAUCAAGAUAGAAGAUCAGAAGAUUAGUGUAGGAGGUGAAAAUAACACAUACCGUUUGUCAAAAAAUGGAAUGAUCUUAAUUUGCAUUUUUAAAAGCUUUCCUCUUCCAUUUGUUCACUUUAUUUUGUGCUCUUAUACUGUGUUAAAAUAUGUUAAACUAUUCUCAAUAGAGGAGAAAAUAGACAAGUAUACUUUUUUUUUUCAAAACUACUCCGAUUCAAGAAUAAAGAUUACUGAUCUGUUACCUGGCACCAAGUUGAAGUUAAAGAGUGAAGAAAAAUUGCAUUUAAAUAUGCUUUCUCUCUGCAAACACAGAUAUUAAUAUGUGCACAUAUACAUACUUAUAAAUAUACAUUCAUGCAUAUAUAUAUGCAUGUAUAACUAUUAGAUUAUGAAUCCAUCAGCUAUAUACAUCAUUCAUGUAACAUCCAGCUAUUUAUCAUUCAUGCAUCUUAUAUAAGUUUAUAAAUUUACACUUUGUAAAUGGAAAUUGGUAGAUAAAGAAUAAAAAAUAAAGUCACGAAGAUUAAAAUAAUUAUUUUAGAAAAAUAAGGACUAAUACAGGGGGAUGAAAAGUGAGAAGUUUAAAUGACUGGUCUAGACAUGUUUUUCAGGUGCAGAGUGAGCAAAUAGACAUAAAAGAACACAUGCAUAUGUUUUUAAAGCCCCACAAAGUUUAAGGUCAAAAAGAGGAAUGAAAAAAUUUCUAACAAUAUGCAUAUUUUGUUUAUGUUGGAGAUAAAAUUUUUAUUGUGAUAUUUAUGUGUGCUUAAUACCCCAAUAAUGUAGAAUUGCUUUUGGAUAUCAUUAUUACAAAAAUAGGCCAAAUAAAGUAUAUAGACUUAAAAAUAAGGACAUAAUCAUAAAUAAGGGAAAUAUAUAUUUGAGAUUUUAUCUUAAAAAUAAAAUUAUAUUGGAAAUGGAAAUUUAAAAUGAAAAUAUAAUUUUAUUUUGAAGUUGUCAAGUGUAGGACCUAAUUGCAACUCUGCACUGAUAUGUAUCUGUUAUAUUUUUCUGGUGUUUAUUGAAAUAUAUUGAACCCAUUAUUUAGAAUAUUUAGAAGGAAGAUUCAAAAUAAAUACUUUACUUUUCCAAAGGACUAAAAUAAUUGAUAUCACCUGCAGUGUGCACUCGUAAGUCAUGAACAUUGCCUGUUUUUUUGCAUCUAUUUGUUAUGGCUUUUUCCUUCCAGUUUAAUUUAGAUAUAAUUUAAAUACAUUACCAUAUAAGUUUAAGGGGUACAACACAAUGACUUGACUUAUAUAAUGAAAUGAUUAUCACAAUAAGUUUAAUAAAUGUCCAUCAUCUCAUAAAGAUAGAAAAUUAAAGAAAUGGAAAUAAUUGCUUUGUGUGAUUAGAACUCUUAGGCUUUACUCUCUUAACAAUUUUCUUUUGGUUGAUUUAUAUUGUUCAGUCAAUUUCUACUGUACAGCAAAGUGACCCAGUCAUAUAUCUAUACACAUCCUCUUAUAUUAUCUUCCAUCAUGUUCCAUCAUGAGUGAUUGGAUAGAGUUCCCUAUGCUAUACAGCAGACCUCACUGUCUACCCCUUCUAAAUGUUAACAGAUUGCAUCUAUUAACCCAGAACUCCCAGUCCAUCCCACUCCCUUCCCUUUCCACUUGGCAACCACAAGUCUGCUGUGCAUGUCUGUGAGUCUGUUUCUCUUAUAUAGAUAGGUUCUUCUGUGCCAUAUUUUAGAUUCUACAUAUAGUUAUCAUACAGAAUCUGUCUUUCUCUUUCUGACUUACACCACUUAUUAUGAGAAUCUCAAGUUCCAUCCAUGUUGCUGCAAAUGGAAUCAUUUUGUUCUUUUUUAUGGCUGAGUAGUAUUCCAUUGUUUAUAUGCACUACAUCUUAAUCCAUUCCUCUUGGGUGAAUAUUUUGUGCUGUGAGGACUUUUGUUUCCAUAUGCAGAUGCAUACCUGAAUAUUUUGGUUAAUGAAUACUCUGUUAAUGUGUCAAUUCCCAUUCAUACCCCCAGCUUUCUUGUUACCUAUGAUUUAUAUAUGCAUUACGUAUAUGUUAUAUAUAAAUAUACAGCUAUAUAUAUACAUAAUAUAUCCAAUAUAUAUUAGAUACAUAUUUAUAAAAUAAACCACCUGUAACAUAGGUAAUUUGCCUGUGUCUAGUGUAUCCAGGCAUAGAUAUCUUCUAAAACUAUACAAUGUCUAUAUGAUCCUGGCUUCAUGUGUCAUUGGACCGAACAUGUAACAGCUAUGCUCUUCUACGUAGUAAUUAAAACUUAAUAGACAUUUCACAGGAACAUUUAAUGAUUUCUAGAUUUUAGGUACCUAUUUAAUUUAUAGAAGAUAUAUUUUUGAACAAAGACAAUUCACAAAAUUUACAUGUCUUUUACAAAUAUUUGUUCAUUUAUUUUGAUAUAUUUUCAGGAUUAUCCAUUGGUUGAAUUUCUUUUUAAAUGACUAAUUUUAGGUACUCAACAUGUUUUUAACACUAUCACCAACCCUGUUUCUACUGAGCACCUUUCCUUGACAUUCCAACAUCUUAACAAUCACUCAAUAUUGCAAAAUUCCAUUAAAGAUAAGUAUGUCUAAAAGAUAGCAUUCCUUUGGCAGCUUGUCUCUAAACUACUGCCUUCCACUACAAUUUUUGGCAAUGGAAUUAUGUUCUAUGAUCUGAGUGCCCAAGAAUAGUAGUUUGUGUGGCUUUUAUGCAUUUGAAGUGUGGAUAGUAAGGCUGAAAAAAACUUUCAAAUUUAAUUUAAUUUUAAUUAAUAUAAAUAUAAAUCAGAAGCCAUAUGUGUCUUGUGGCUACCAUCUAGGACAGAAUAGUCGCUCCAAAUCUAAGAAAAGUUUUUUUGCAAGGCAGAGAACAGAAGAAAAAAACUUGAUUUAAUUUGUUUUAUUCCUUUAUUUGACCAAUUAUUCAACACUAGUACUUAUUACAUAUUCACUAUUUUCCAAGCAUUGCACUAAUAAGAAGUUAUUCAAUCAUGAAGAUGUGUAUAUAUUAGAGAAGGGCUCUAGGGUAAGCAGCAAUGUUUCUCAUUCCCAAAGACACUUUGAGCAUAAAUAAAAAUACCUGUGGAGUUCGCAUUUUGGUUCAGUGGAUUAAGAACCUGACAUAGUGUCCAUUAGGAUGUGGGUUCAAACCCUGGCCUCGUUCAGUGUGUCAAGUAUUGGGCAUUGCUGCAAGCUGUGGCAUAGGUUGCAGAUGCAGCUCAGAUCCAGUGUUUCUGUGGCUGUGGCAUAGCCAGCAGCUGCAGCUCCAAUUCAACCCUUAGCC